RNAcentral lists this ribosomal RNA (1239 nucleotides) under metagenome. Its description in RNAcentral is "bacterial LSU rRNA". It matches the Rfam family "Bacterial large subunit ribosomal RNA", at positions 1564 to 2814 of the family's 2925-position model. The record is from RNAcentral.
UGAGUACGAGAUGCUACGGCGUCGAAGCAGUCUAGGUCAUACUUCCAAGAAAAGCUUGCACUGUCAUAAACAAAAUGCCUGUACCAUAACCGACACAGGUGGGUAGGUAGAGUAUACUAAGGGGCGCGAGAUAACUCUCUCUAAGGAACUCGGCAAAAUGACUCCGUAACUUCGGGAGAAGGAGGUGCCUUAUUUUUAAGGUUGCAAUAACAAGAUCCAAGCAACUGUUUACCAAAAACACAGGUCUCCGCUAAGUCGUAAGACGAUGUAUGGGGGCUGACGCCUGCCCAGUGCCAGAAGGUUGAAGAAGUUGGUUAGCAUUUGCGAAGCUGAUAACUGAAGCCCUGGUGAACGGCGGCCGUAACAAUAACGGUCCUAAGGUAGCGAAAUUCCUUGUCGGGUAAGUUCCGACCCGCACGAAAGGCGUAAUGAUUUGGAUACUGUCUCGGAGAGGGGCUCGGUGAAAUAGACUUGUCUGUGAAGAUGCGGACUACCUGCACCUGGACAGAAAGACCCUAUGAAGCUUUACUGUAACUUGAGAUUGAAAUUGGACUUUAUUUGCGCAGUAUAGGUGGGAGGCGUUGAGAAUAAUCUUGCGGGAUUAUCGGAGCCAUCAGUGAGAUACCACUCUUGUAAUGUUAGAUUUCUAACUUUGUAUCAUUAUCUGGUCAAAGAACAGUUUCAGGCGGGCAGUUUGACUGGGGCGGUCGCCUCCCAAAGGGUAACGGAGGCGCACAAAGGUUUCCUCUGAACGGGUAGAAAUCGUAUCUAGAGUGUAAAGGCAUAAGGAAGCUUGACUGUGAGACCUACAAGUCGAGCAGGGACGAAAGUCGGUCUUAGUGAUCUGACGGUGCUGAGUGGAAAGGCCGUCACUCAACGGAUAAAAGUUACUCUAGGAUAACAGGCUGAUCUCCCCCAAGAGUUCACAUCGACGGGGAGGUUUGGCACCUCGAUGUCGGCUCAUCGCAUCCUGGGGCGGUAGUACGUCCCAAGGGUUGGGCUGUUCGCCCAUGAAAGCGGUACGCGAGCUGGGUUCAGAACGUCGUGAGACAGUUCGGUCCAUAUCCGGUGUAGGCGUUAGAAUAUUGAAAGGAGCCUUCUUUAGUACGAGAGGACCGAGAAGGACAUACCUCUGGUGUGCCAGUUAUCGUGCCAACGGUAAACGCUGGGUAGCUAUGUAUGGAGUGGAUAACCGCUGAAAGCAUCUAAGUGGGAAGCCCACCUUAAGAUAAGUAUUCC